GAUGAACGCUGGCGGCGUGCCUAAUACAUGCAAGUCGAGCGAACAGACGCGGAGCUUGCUCCUCGCACGUUAGCCGCGGACGUGUGAGAAACACGUGUAUAACCUACCUAUAAGUCGGGUAUAACUUCGGGACACCGGAGCUAAUCCCGUAUAAUCUCUUGAACCGCAGGGUUCAAUAGUGAGAGACGGCUUUGCUGUCACUUAUAGAUGCAUCCGGGCUGCAUUAGAUAGUUGGGAAGGUAACGGCUUACCAAGGCUACGAUGCGUAGGCGACCUGACAGGGGGAUCGGCCACAUGGGAACUGGAACGCGGUCCAGAGUACUGCGGGAGGGAGCAGAAGGGAACGGUAGGCAAUGGGCGGAAGCAUGACGGAGCAAGGCCGCGUGAGAGACGAAGGCCUUGGGGUCGUAAAACUCUGUUAUUCGGGAAGAACAGCUGUGUAAGUAGACAUGGAGGUCUUGACGGUACCGGAUCAGAAAGCACCGGCUAACUACGUG
Molecule: ribosomal RNA, 497 nt
Filed under: uncultured bacterium
Lineage: Bacteria
Description: partial 16S ribosomal RNA
Rfam family: Bacterial small subunit ribosomal RNA
Source: RNAcentral